Molecule: ribosomal RNA, 320 nt
Filed under: uncultured Actinomycetes bacterium
Lineage: Bacteria; Bacillati; Actinomycetota; Actinomycetes
Description: bacterial SSU rRNA
Rfam family: Bacterial small subunit ribosomal RNA
Source: RNAcentral
GACGAACGCUGGCGGCGUGCUUAACACAUGCAAGUCGAGCGGAAAGGCCACUUCGGUGGUACUCGAGCGGCGAACGGGUGAGUAACACGUGAGUAAUCUGCCCCCCACUUUGGGAUAGCCACCGGAAACGGUGAUUAAUACCGGAUAUGACCUGUGACCGCAUGGUUGUGGGUGGAAAGUUUUUCGGUGGGGGAUGUGCUCGCGGCCUAUCAGCUUGAUGGUGGGGUAAUGGCCUACCAUGGCUUCGACGGGUAGCCGGCCUGAGAGGGUGACCGGCCACACUGGGACUGAGACACGGCCCAGACUCCUACGGGAGGCAG